Long non-coding RNA from Hippocampus comes (tiger tail seahorse), 461 nucleotides. RefSeq lists it as uncharacterized. The record is from RefSeq and is a predicted model, not a curated record. Lineage: Eukaryota; Metazoa; Chordata; Actinopteri; Syngnathiformes; Syngnathidae. The transcript is spliced from 4 exons.
UUGUGAGUUACAACGCAAAUGCACCACGUCAAUUAACGCAACUUGACCGUUGGCUUCAGAAACUUGUAAUCGCCGAUAGAAUUCAUUCUUUCUGCAAAUAAAGAAGAGGAUUGAGGGGAAAAUGGCCAGUCAAGAGCAAAUUCCGACUCGAGCACGUUCAAGAUCAAGAGGCAGGGCACGUGGCCAGGAUCCUGUUGCACCAGGGACUCGGGCACGAGAACCUGCACCGGAAGUUGCAGCAAAAGAAGAAGGUGGGAUUGUUGGUCGAGGGAGGCAGAAAAAAAGUAUGGCACCAUUUUCUGGACAAGAUGUUAUGGAGAUCUCAGCUGGAUUUCAUCAGGUGAAGAUAGGAGAGAGAGGUGGACGCAGAAGAGAUUUCUAUGAUGUCGGUAUUAACACCAGGGAGACGAUGGAGCAUGUCAAAGGCUCAAAGUCUGGUAUGUGCCGAUUUGAAAAGCUCA